Molecule: long non-coding RNA, 1159 nt
Organism: Bos taurus (domestic cattle)
Lineage: Eukaryota; Metazoa; Chordata; Mammalia; Artiodactyla; Bovidae
Source: Ensembl
GUUUUCGCGAGCAUCCGGGCCGCGCGCCGCCCGCGUCCUGCCCCGGUUGUCCAGGCUCAGAGAGGCCGCCAAGGGGGCCACGGAGGGUCCGGCCCUGGCGGCCGCUCGCCAUCAACCCCCUCUGGCUGCGAGGAUGUAACAGUCCAGGCCCGGUCCUCGCCUUCUCUUUCUCUUUUUCCUCCCACUUCUGUUCCUCCAUCCUUCGAGGAUGCAGCGCUCACCACCUCCUCAAGUCCCAAACUUGAAUUCUUUACAGAACUAACUACAGAAUGAGUUUACUCCAGGGAAGGAAAGAAGUUGAAAGAAUUGGCCAAAUGUUAUGAGAAAGAAAAAAUAUAUAUAUAUGUAUGUAUGUAUGUAUUAUUUUUAGUAGCAAUAUGGAAUACGAGGAGUGCUUCUCAAACUUUUCAAAUGCAUCCGACGCACCUGGACUCGGACUCAGUGAGGAAAUAGAGGCUCAGAGAAUCAAGCCAUAAGUCCGCAGUGCUACAAUCAGUGACCGUCAGAGCUGUGAUCCACCUCUGGCCUCAUACCUCACAAUGGCCAUCUGGGCAAGAGGAAAAGCUGAGAGCAGUAACACCCUCUAAAAUGACCUUCCCAGAGCAGGACGAGUGUCCUCACUCAGCCUCACGAAAUGGCAAAGUGAAGGAAUAAAACAUUUCAGCUGGAAAAACAAUAGAUAGCCAGAAAUCAACCCCAAUUCUACCAGAAGUCAUAAUUCCAGAAAACAGAACUACAUACACAAACGGCAAUAUAUUCCAAGAUACACAUAAUAAAAUCACCUUGGCAAUGCCUAUGCCCUUGUGGCCAAACCAGGAAGGGAUUGAAUUUAAAAGAGAACCAGUGAAGGCAAAAGGAGAAGUGGGAGGCAGAGGAUGGGAUGGUUAGAUAGUAUCACCGACUUAAUGGACAUGAAUUUGAGCAAACUCCAGGAGACAGUGAAGGACAAGAAAGCCUACUGCAGUCCAUGGGGUGCCAAAGAGUCAAACACUCCUGAGUGACGGAGCACACAGCUGGAGGACUUUUACCCACAUGAGCCCAUCCAAAGAGGUGUGCCUACCCACCUACAAGGUUCAGCUCCCUGCCACAUAGCCAAGAGCCUGAUAGUGGUGAAACGCCAGAGUAAUUACAAUGAAAAUUUCCAAGGGGGAAAGAUCAG